AUUGAACGCUGGCGGCAGGCUUAACACAUGCAAGUCGAGCGGAGAUGAGGUGCUUGCACCUUAUCUUAGCGGCGGACGGGUGAGUAAUGCUUAGGAAUCUGCCUAUUAGUGGGGGACAACAUUCCGAAAGGAAUGCUAAUACCGCAUACGUCCUACGGGAGAAAGCAGGGGAUCUUCGGACCUUGCGCUAAUAGAUGAGCCUAAGUCGGAUUAGCUAGUUGGUGGGGUAAAGGCCUACCAAGGCGACGAUCUGUAGCGGGUCUGAGAGGAUGAUCCGCCACACUGGGACUGAGACACGGCCCAGACUCCUACGGGAGGCAGCAGUGGGGAAUAUUGGACAAGGGGGGGAACCCUGAUCCAGCCACGCCGCGUGUGUGAAGAAGGCCUUAUGGUUGUAAAGCACUUUAAGCGAGGAGGAGGCUACUGAGACUAAUACUCUUGGAUAGUGGACGUUACUCGCAGAAUAAGCACCGGCUAACUCUGUGCCAGCAGCCGCCGUAA
This 501-nucleotide ribosomal RNA is filed under the name uncultured bacterium. RNAcentral describes it as "partial 16S ribosomal RNA". It matches the Rfam family "Bacterial small subunit ribosomal RNA", at positions 30 to 523 of the family's 1533-position model. The record is from RNAcentral.